GAUGAAGAACGCAGCGAAAUGCGAUAAGUAAUGUGAAUUGCAGAAUCCAGUGAAUCAUCGAAUCUUUGAACGCACAUUGCGCCCGCCAGCAUUCUGGUGGGCAUGCCUGUUCGAGCGUCAUUUCAACCCUCGACCUCCCUUUGGGGAAGUCGGCGUUGGGGACCGGCAGCACACCGCCGGCCCUGAAAUGGAGUGGCGGCCCGUCCGCGGCGACCUCUGCGUAGUAAUCCAACUCGCACCGGAACCCCGACGCGGCCACGCCGUAAAACACCCAACUUCUGAACGUUGACCUCGAAUCAGGUAGGACUACCCGCUGAACUUAAGCAUAUCAAUAAGCGGAGGA
Molecule: unclassified non-coding RNA, 343 nt
Filed under: soil metagenome
Description: partial contains 5.8S ribosomal RNA, internal transcribed spacer 2, and large subunit ribosomal RNA
Rfam family: 5.8S ribosomal RNA (bases 1-120)
Source: RNAcentral